UUGGUUAAUUUUUUGUGAUCUUUUUUGGUUUCUUUGUGGUGUGCAGGGACCCAUUGAUGGGUAUUUAAUAUCGAAUCGUACAUACAGAGUUGCAGCAACAAAAAGGCCACUCCUUUUUAUUGGAACCGGUGAACAUAUGGAUGAAUUUGAACUAAUUGAGAUUAUGUGCAGCGAUUUAAUUUGGGAUUUUGUUUGUUGGGUAGAUAUUUAGGUCUACAUAGUUAAAAAGACCCCAAAGGAGGUAAUUCUAAUUUGCGCAAUUUAAGCGUUUAUUAAUUAAAGUUCCCUAUACAUUCUUCUAUUUCGUGCUGAUCAUGAUGGGUGUUUUAACGGAGCCAGGUGCUUGAUUUGAUUAAUCGUGGGGGGAACUUCAUCGUGGUCCAAGUCUUAGCCGACUUACAAAGGUACAUUAUUUGGCGUAUUUGACCCUCUUGACCGUUAGCUUUUUGCACCCGCUGAAGAAGAAUCUUGGGAAUGGCAGCGGUGUUAUUAAACUUGUUUGACACAUUUCCCAUUUAGCUAUAAAGAAUCUGAUAUACACAUGUAUCUCUAUGUUGUAGGUUUUACACCAACAGAGAAGCUUUUGGAUUUGUUUCAUGGAAAAUUGGGACUAAAUGUUGACCCUAUAUUCGAUAAACUAGGCUACUAAGAUUUCAAGCU
This is a long non-coding RNA of Helianthus annuus (common sunflower), 660 nucleotides long. RefSeq lists it as uncharacterized. The record is from RefSeq and is a predicted model, not a curated record. The transcript is spliced from 2 exons. NCBI's taxonomy places the organism in Eukaryota, Viridiplantae, Streptophyta, Magnoliopsida, Asterales, Asteraceae.